RNAcentral lists this ribosomal RNA (450 nucleotides) under uncultured bacterium. RNAcentral describes it as "partial 16S ribosomal RNA". It matches the Rfam family "Bacterial small subunit ribosomal RNA", at positions 338 to 795 of the family's 1533-position model. The record is from RNAcentral.
CCUACGGGUGGCUGCAGUGGGGAAUUUUGGACAAUGGGCGAAAGCCUGAUCCAGCCAUGCCGCGUGCGGGAAGAAGGCCUUCGGGUUGUAAACCGCUUUUGUCAGGGAAGAAAUCUUUCGAGCUAAUACCUUGAGAGGAUGACGGUACCUGAAGAAUAAGCACCGGCUAACUACGUGCCAGCAGCCGCGGUAAUACGUAGGGUGCGAGCGUUAAUCGGAAUUACUGGGCGUGAAUCGUGCGCAGAGGUGUGAACUCCCCGGGCUUAACCUGGGAACUGCACUUGUGACUGCACGGCUGGAGUACGGCAGAGGGGGAUGGAAUUCCGCGUGUAGCAGUGAAAUGCGUAGAUAUGCGGAGGAACACCGAUGGCGAAGGCAGUCCCCUGGGCCUGUACUGACGCUCAUGCACGAAAGCGUGGGGAGCAAACAGGAUUAGAUACCCGAGUAGUC